AACGCAUCGUUGCCGCUCGACCAUCCCUCCAUGUUCACCGCUUCUUCCCUGCGCUAUCCCGAGAUGUGGAAAAGAAGAAAAACGAGCUCCCGUGGCCGAUGCCAUCGAUCUCUCCGCCAUUGAUGGUCCUCUCCUCUUCCCAUCUCCAGCUCCGACAGGCCCCCUCCGUUCGAUCGGUCCGUGCGAUCCUUCCACUUCCCUUUGGCCUCGCACCCUUCUCCUCCGGUUUUUAGGGUUUAAUGUUCGAUUUGAUCCGGUCCUGGAGGAACGAUGCGAAUGAGGGAUCGAUGCUGGUCGUUUUGGUCUAUUUGGAUUUUCUUUGAAUCAUUGUUGGUGAUUUGUUUCAUUCUGAUGCGAUCUUGCGUUCUCGAUUCGGGGUUGCUUGCUUUUCAAAUGUGGUGGUAGCGUUGGAUUUGUCUGCCCCGAAAACAAAGUGGAUGAUGGAUUUAGCUUGUGGUAUCUUGAUUACGGCAUCGGUUGGUCUUCGGGGUUUAGAUACAGAGGACAGAGUCACUGUGUUCUUCGUUGCAUUAGGAUAUGCUUCUAGUCUUUUUCUUUGGGAAGGAAAGGAAAUCGCUGAUGAUUGGUCGUCUUGUUUAAAGUUCCGUGUACGGGACAGAUCAUGGUGUUCCGUUUAGUUUGUUGGGCAAUGGAGGAGACAUUUUGAAUGCAUUUUCUUGAACUCUAUGGAGGAAACUUCUGAAAGGAUCGAUGCUGUUGGUUUGUCAGAUGAACGAUUCUUUGGCAUUUGUUGGUGCUAGCAAACAAAAUUUUGAUGUGACCCAGAAUAACUUUGUAGAUGAGCAGGAAGACUCUAUAGAGGGCUCAGAAGGAGGGCCUCUCUUUGAUGAAAAACCGACUGAACAAGUGGCUGAGGAAAAGGAAGCUUAUCAGCUGGAUGAGUUGAGGGAUUGCUUCAGAAGGCUAUCAAGGAAUUGCAGGUUGCUCAGCUCAACAGUCCUUGUGCUGGAAUACAGGGCAUAGAAGAUAUCUGAAACAGCAAUCGCCUUAAAAGAUGAAGCAGAACGUGCUUGGUGAGACGUUAAUUCAGCUCCUUCUACCAUUCAGGAGAUUUUUUUAAUGAAGAAGACAUUGCCAAAGAGGCAGUCCACAAGGACACCGUGGCUGGUAGCACGAGUAAUUGAUUACAAAAAGAAGAUAUCAUCAGAACCUUCUGUGAGGAAUCAUGAGAAACAAGCACUGGUAUGUAAGGAAAGCUUGGAAAGCUGCGAGGAAGGAUCGAGAUGCAUUCGAAUGGGGAAUGAGGAACUGCAGCAGAAGGAAGUAGAGAAGUUGCUGGAGAUUGCUGAGAAAGCUCAGCUGGAUUUUGGAGAUGCAGUGAGUUGAGAGUUUAGGAAACUUUUAUAAUGCUUUUCCACAAUUAUCUUACAUAAUAAACUGCAACACGAAUUUUGUAACUGGAAUUUUUAGAUUGGGGCUGAGUGGACUCGUGCUGCUGCCAUAGUUUUAAAUACUCCUGAUGCAAAUUAUAGAGCAGUUUGGACGGUGAGCAACUAUCCAAAUGUUAAAGACAUUUGUUCAGGUCCACAAAUAUUGAUCAUGGAAUUAAUUUGUAAAAGGAAGGUUCAUCUGCGGAAAGUUAUGGUCACACCUUUCAUUUCAACACAUGGUUGUACCAGACUUUGGAACCAAAUCUCCAGUCAACUGCUGUUGUUCUUGCACAGGAAAGUUGGCCAAUCUCAGAGCUUGCUGCCCCAAUAAAUGAAUUCAGAACUCGUCGUCUCUCAGAGCUCGCUGAGGUAAAAAUAUCACCAACUGUUUCAUGUUGUAGUUAACUGAACUGACCCUUGUUUACCUCUUAACAACGUUGGUGAACUGUUUUUAUUUUUUCACCUUAUUGAGCAAUUUGCAAAUUCCCUUUGAGAAAAUCAUGGUUAGACUUUUUGCUUUACUUUGAAAUAAUGGUGUCAUAUUAUAAGAUAAGCACAACUUCAGCCAACCCUUUUAUAGUCAUCAAUCUAUUUAAUGUUACUUAGAUACUGGCUGCUUGCAUAAACAUCCUUUAUAAUAUAAUUACAUUAUUUAGUAGCACUCCUUAUUUAGUGGUUGUUAUUAUUAUCUGUAUGAAAGUAGUAAGUGACAAAUUGUAAAUAUGUUUUCCUUGCAUCACUAUUAUACAUAUUUUUGGGCAUUAUAACAUAGGAAGAUGAUAGAUUUAAUAGGAUUUUCAUUACAUUUUGUCCUUUUUUGCACAAAAAUCAGUAUAACAUUUGCCGGACAGUAACCAGCAGGUCUCAUCCUAUCUGUAAGCCUUUUCCUUUUAUUUGAAUUUGCCGGACAGAAAUCAAAGGAACAAAUGCUCACCUAAUGAAAAAUUGAGGUCCUGGAAUAGCACUAGUCAACCCAAAUGUAAGACAAUUUUUUGUAGCUUUAGGAAAAUAUUCCUCAAGAUAUGCUUCCGAGAGAGUUAACUUUAGUAAACACUUGUAGCUUUUGUGCAACAAAUGCCUUAGCAUUGGACAAGUAUUACUCAAACCAGCAAGUCCUCUCUUAUCUCAGCCCAUGCGAGGGAUAAAUGCUUAGCAUUGGACAAACUAGUAAGAGAUCAGAUCGAACAUCAACAGAUCCGGGACUUCCCAAAUACAACAAUGAGAAGAACAUUUGCAAAGGUUGCCAGUUAAAAU
Long non-coding RNA from Musa acuminata AAA Group (dessert banana), 2645 nucleotides. RefSeq lists it as uncharacterized. Lineage: Eukaryota; Viridiplantae; Streptophyta; Magnoliopsida; Zingiberales; Musaceae. The transcript is spliced from 3 exons. The record is from RefSeq and is a predicted model, not a curated record.